GGGUGCGUUGCUGCAUACGGCACAUCGCAGGUUAAUGCUCAAACGCUGGUCGGGCCGCUAGCG
This 63-nucleotide non-coding RNA is filed under the name Pseudomonas sp. RNAcentral's name for it is "Li+-I sequence". It matches the Rfam family "nhaA-I RNA". From Rfam's summary of the family: Acidobacteria, Alphaproteobacteria, Betaproteobacteria and Gammaproteobacteria, Verrucomicrobia, cand. division NC10. Downstream gene Lineage: Bacteria; Pseudomonadati; Pseudomonadota; Gammaproteobacteria; Pseudomonadales; Pseudomonadaceae. The record is from RNAcentral.